Molecule: long non-coding RNA, 2229 nt
Organism: Heterocephalus glaber (naked mole-rat)
Lineage: Eukaryota; Metazoa; Chordata; Mammalia; Rodentia; Bathyergidae
Source: RefSeq, a predicted model, not a curated record
UGUUGAGGGAAAAGGGAUGAUGGAGACAGACUUAACAAGCAAAGUGAACACACCCCAAAAACAGAAAUAGAAUUAGGAGGAACGGCGGGUCUGCAACAGCGGGAGCAAGCACACAAAUACGGUCAUGAUUUAUGUAAGUUACUUCAAAGUUUAGCUGAAGCCAUGGAGGAGUUUCAGAAAGAGUGAGAGAGGAUGUCCCUUACAUGUUUCAGAAUAUCUGACAUGGCCAUAUGCAGCGUGAUGCAGAACUAAGCUCAUCUGCCCGCCUGGAGCGGGGCGCUCACGUCCAGCGUGCGCACAGAAACAGUGCUGACCACGGCCUUUCUUCUGGACCAGCGAGCCCUCCCUGCAGCCCCAGCUUUCUGGCUUGCGGGACUGCCUGCGGCCUGCUCACCUGGACCUGCCUCUCGGCCGACCUUCCUGUUGCAGGCAUUUGUAGCAGAGCCCUGUGACUAGCAGGUCUUCAAAAGGUCAUCCAAACGGAUUCAAGAAAUCCUAAGACACUGGGAAUGUUUUUCUUCUGUCCUUUCCCUCUGACUCUAGGACAUAGAUUUCUCCUGUUUCCUUCAAACGAGUCUGUAGAGAUGUGGCUUUAAUUUCUUUGAUGAGGCAUGUGAGACAAUGAUCUACAAAUUCAAUAUUUCCUUUUAAAAACGCAUAGCUGUGUUUUCCCUGAGCAAAACAGACUUGCAUAGAAAAGUCACCAGCUUAGAUGGCUGAACCCGUGACGUUGUCGCAGAGACCCCGUAAGUAAAAAGUCCUCUCACCAGCAUCUGUUUGCCCUCACCUCACCUGUGUUUCUAUAAAGGGGGCAUCCCCGCCCCACGCCUCUCUCCUGGAGGCCUCCACUACCCCAGAGCCUGGGGCGCUGGUGCUGGGUGGGGACAGGAGCAGCCAGCAGAUGGCAGGAGACCGCUGCUGCUUCCUCGAGGCUCCCAGCUUCGGUCUGAGCCUGUGGAGCAGCUCAGAGACUGGACCCAGGCUUUUUCAUCAGCCUGGAAGGAAGACUGAGGGCUACAGAACCGAUCCUCAAGGAGCACAUGAAAUCUUUGAUUAAACUGAGAGAAGGUUACUUCUGAGAAUUCUAGCGAAGCCAGGUGGUUGCAGAAUUGCCUGCAGUUGUCCCCGGCGUGGUUGUUUCCUGACCCACAAUUAGUUCCACAAACCCCAGUUCCUGGAACAAAGACACAUGGAGCAAUAUUCCAGGAAGAACUCAAUUCUGAAUCAGUGGGCAUUUUUCUUUCUCAAGUCAGCAUUCUCCAGAUGAGCCUCGCUGGCUUAUCCUGACCAACGGUCUGCCUGGAAAGACCGCAGACCCCAGGAAAGAGGUUUACACUCAAGGGUCCAGCUAACAGCUUCCUGCCUUUUGAGGAAGAGAACUCUGCUGUCCUGAAUUUGCCUUCUUUCUCAGAAACCAGUCACUGGACAUCCUCUUCAUCACUGAAUUCUCCCUACAACUCUGGUAGGCCAAUUCUCUUCGACUAGUUUCAAAGAGGAAAAAAUUAGGCUCUACAUGAAGCUUCACUUGAGAAAUCUGAGUGUGUGACCCCUUUGUGUCAUACCCUGCUGUCUGCACCCAGGGUCCUUCCUGCACCCCAUGAGCCCUGCUCCAUGAAGGACAGACUGACAGGAAACAGACUCCCUGUGCCCCGUCCCUCACUGCUCAGUCUCUUACCACUCAGAUGAAGCUGUGGGGUAGAAGACCUCUGAGUGCCUCCAAGAUGAGGCGUCACAUUGGCCUCUCGGAGGACAAAAAGAUUGGUUUUGUGUUAAUGGUGAUGAUCAUUCACUCAUUCAAAAAUAAUUUACUGAGCACCCACUAGGAAACAAGGCAUCGCUGUUGGCCUGAGACUGUAGCAAUGUGCCAGACAGGAAGGGUCCAUGGGCAAAGGAUGGGCAGUAGGCAGUCCAAUAAGACACGUUCAGAUGAAGGGGUUGGCCACAGAAAAAGAAAAGGAAACAUAAGGGUACGGUAGACACAGACUCAGAGGAGAGUCUGCUUUAGUCUGCGUGGUCAGCAGGCCCCCCCGACAGAGCCCCAUGGCUGCCUCCUGCCCACACUGGGCUGCACAGCUCGCCUUUCUUGGGGGAUGGCGUUUGGGUUGAGAUCGGAUAAGGCUAUGGCCAAGGUUGCCCUCUCAUUCUUUCUUGUCUUCAUUCCUACACCCCCUUUCAACCACGAAUUGGGUCAGAUGAUGCUUGGAAUUUAGUACCAAUUACUGUAUUAAA